CAGUAGCCGCGGUAAUACAGAGGGUGCAAGCGUUAAUCGGAAUUACUGGGCGUAAAGCGCGCGUAGGUGGUUCGCCAAGUUGGAUGUGAAAUCCCCGGGCUCAACCUGGGAACUGCAUCCAAAACUGGCAAGCUAGAGUAUGGUAGAGGGUGGUGGAAUUUCCUGUGUAGCGGUGAAAUGCGUAGAUAUAGGAAGGAACACCAGUGGCGAAGGCGACCACCUGGACUGAUACUGACACUGAGGUGCGAAAGCGUGGGGAGCAAACAGGAUUAGAUACCCCUGUAGUCCCUGUCUCUUAUAC
Molecule: ribosomal RNA, 301 nt
Filed under: uncultured bacterium
Lineage: Bacteria
Description: partial 16S ribosomal RNA
Rfam family: Bacterial small subunit ribosomal RNA
Source: RNAcentral